AGAGUUUGAUCCUGGCUCAGAAUCAACGCUGGCGGCGUGCCUAACACAUGCAAGUCGAACGAGAAAGGGUAGCAAUACCUGAGUAAAGUGGCGCACGGGUGAGUAACACGUGACUAACCUACCCUGGAGUGGGGGAUAACUGGGAGAAAUCCUAGCUAAUACCGCAUAACACCUACGGGUCAAAGGAGCAAUUCGCUUUGGGAGGGGGUCGCGGUCGAUUAGUUAGUUGGCGGGGUAAUGGCCCACCAAGACUGUGAUCGAUAUCCGGCCUGAGAGGGCGCACGGACACACUGGAACUGAAACACGGUCCAGACUCCUACGGGAGGCAGCAGUGGGGAAUUUUGCGCAAUGGGGGAAACCCUGACGCAGCAACGCCGCGUGGAGGAUGAAGUCCUUCGGGACGUAAACUCCUUUCGAUCGGGACGAUAAUGACGGUACCGGAAGAAGAAGCCCCGGCUAACUUCGUGCCAGCAGCCGCGGUAAUACGAGGGGGGCGAGCGUUGUUCGGAAUUAUUGGGCGUAAAGGGUGCGUAGGCGGUUUGGUAAGUCUUAUGUGAAAUCUAUGGGCUCAACUCAUAGACUGCAUGAGAAACUGCCGGGCUUGAGUGUGGGAGAGGUGAGUGGAAUUUCCGGUGUAGCGGUGAAAUGCGUAGAUAUCGGAAGGAACACCUGUGGCGAAAGCGGCUCACUGGACCACAACUGACGCUGAUGCACGAAAGCUAGGGGAGCAAACAGGAUUAGAUACCCCGGUAGUCC
RNAcentral lists this ribosomal RNA (756 nucleotides) under uncultured bacterium. Its description in RNAcentral is "bacterial SSU rRNA". It matches the Rfam family "Bacterial small subunit ribosomal RNA", at positions 8 to 796 of the family's 1533-position model. The record is from RNAcentral.